RNAcentral lists this ribosomal RNA (251 nucleotides) under uncultured bacterium. Its description in RNAcentral is "partial 16S ribosomal RNA". It matches the Rfam family "Bacterial small subunit ribosomal RNA", at positions 543 to 793 of the family's 1533-position model. The record is from RNAcentral.
AUCCGGAAUUAUUGGGCGUAAAGAGCAUGUAGGCGGUCUAUUAAGUCUGGUGUGAAAUCUAGUGGCUCAACCACUAAAUUGCAUUGGAAACUGAUGGACUAGAAUACUGGAGGGGCAAGUGGAAUUCCAUGUGUAGCGGUGGAAUGCGUAGAUAUAUGGAGGAACACCAAUGGCGAAGGCAGCUUGCUGGACAGUAAUUGACGCUGAGAUGCGAAAGCGUGGGUAGCAAACAGGAUUAGAUACCCUGGUAG